GCCAAAUCAUGUUAUUUGUGCCCAGUUAAAAUUUCUGUUAUAUUAUAGUGUUACUACUAAGUCGUAGAAUUUCUGUUAUGUUAUAGUAUAUCUGCUGAUUACAGUAUAUGUGCCAAAUCAUAGUAUUUAUAGCAAAUCAUAGUAUUACUGCCCAAACAUAGUAUUUCUGCCAAAUUGUAGUAUUUGUGCAAAAACAUAGAAUUUCUGCAAAAUCAUAGUAUAUCUGUUAUGUUAUAGUAUUACUACUAAGGCAUAGUAUUCCUACCAAAUCAUAGUAUUCCAAAUCAUAGUAUUACUGCAAUUUCAUAGUAUUUGAGCGAAAUUGUAGUAUUUGUGCAAAAACAUACUAUGUCUGCAAAAUCACAUUAUAUCUGCUAUGUUAUAGUAUUACUACUAAGGCAUAGUAUUUCUACCAAAUCAUAGUAUUCCUUCAAAAUCAUAGUAUCACUGCAAUUUCAUAGUAUUUGAGCGAAAUUGUAGUAUUUGUACUAAAUCAUGGUACUUGUGCCAAAUCAUAGUAUUUAUAGCAAAUCAUAGUAUUUGUGCUAAAACAUAGUAUUUCUGCCACAUUAUAGUAUUUGUGUAAAACCAGAAUGUCUGCAAAAUCAUCAUAUAUCUGUUAUGUUAUAGUAUUACUACUAAGGCAUAGUAUUUCUGGAAAAUCAUAGUAUUUCAACUAAAUAAUAGUAUUUCUCCCAAAUCAUAGUAUUUGUUUCAAAUCAUAGCAUCUGAACCAAAUCAUAUUAUUUGUGCCAAAAAUUGUAUUUGUACAAAGUCAUAACAUCUUUUCUAAAUCAUAGUAUUUCAAUCAAAUCUCAGUAGUUGUGCUAAAACGCAGUAUUAUUGCCAAGUCAUACUAUUUCUGCCAAAUCAUAGUAUUUGUACUAAAUCAUAGUACUUGUGCCAAAUCAUAGUAUUUAUAGCAAAUCAUAGUAUUUGUGCCCAAACACAGUAUUUCUUGCCAAAUUGUAGUAUUUCUACAAAAACAUACUAUGUCUGCAAAAUCACAGUAUAUCUGUUAUAUUAUAGUAUUACUACUAAGGCAUGGCAUU
Molecule: long non-coding RNA, 1052 nt
Filed under: Oreochromis niloticus (Nile tilapia)
Lineage: Eukaryota; Metazoa; Chordata; Actinopteri; Cichliformes; Cichlidae
Description: lncRNA (ENSONIG00000042195.1)
Source: RNAcentral